This 253-nucleotide ribosomal RNA is filed under the name uncultured bacterium. RNAcentral describes it as "partial 16S ribosomal RNA". It matches the Rfam family "Bacterial small subunit ribosomal RNA", at positions 524 to 776 of the family's 1533-position model. The record is from RNAcentral.
GACAUGGGGUGCAAACGUUGCUCGGAAUUAUUGGGCGUAAAGCGCGCGUAGGCGGUUACUCAAGUCGGAUGUGAAAGCCCUCGGCUUAACUGAGGAAGUGCACCCGAAACUGAGUAGCUAGAGUACUAAAGAGGGUCGCGGAAUUCCCGGUGUAGAGGUGAAAUUCGUAGAUAUCGGGAGGAACACCGGUGGCGAAGGCGGCGACCUGGGUAGAUACUGACGUUGAGGCGCGAAAGCGUGGGGAGCAAGCAGG